GGGGGGGGGGGGGGGGGGGGGGGGGGGGGGCAGGGGGGGGGGGCGGGGCGGGGUUGGGGGCGGGGGGGGGAGGGGCACGGGGGAACGGGCCGCUAGGUUCGGAAUAACUCAGGGAAACUUGUGCUAAGACCGACUGUGCCCUUCGGGGGAAAGAUGAAUCGCCCUUUGGGUGGCCCGCGUCUGGUUAGCUAGUUGGUUGAGGUAAUGGCUCACCAAGCCGACGAUCCGUAGCUGGUCUGAGAGGAGGAUCAGCCACAUUGGGACUGAGACACGGCCCAAGCGCCUACGGGAGGCAGCGGUGGGGAAUCUUGGGCAAUGGGCGAAAGCCUGACGCAGCCAUGCCGCGUGAAUGAUGAAGGUCUUAGGAUUGUAAAAUUCUUUCACCGGGGACGAUAAUGACGGUACCCGGAGAAGAAGCCCCGGCUAACUUCGUG
RNAcentral lists this ribosomal RNA (434 nucleotides) under uncultured bacterium. RNAcentral describes it as "partial 16S ribosomal RNA". The stretch from base 45 to 434 matches the Rfam family "Bacterial small subunit ribosomal RNA", at positions 39 to 507 of the family's 1533-position model. The record is from RNAcentral.